CUGACCUGGGACUCUGGGGAUACUGCCCCUGUGCUGAGUAACUGAGAUCUGCCAGCCCUGCAGUAGUGCCCAGCCUGCCCCAUCCCCUGCUGAUUUGCAUGUUCCAGAGCACAGCCCCCUGCCCUGAAGACUUCUUAAUAGGCUGGUCACACCCUGUGCAGGAGUCAGUCCCAGUCAGAGCACAGCAUGGACAUGAGGGUCCCCACUCAGCUCCUGGGGCUCCUGCUGCUCUGGCUCCCAGGUGCCAGAUGUGACAUCCAGAUGACGCAGUCUCCAUCCUCCCUAUCUGCAUCUGUAGGAGACAGAGUCACCAUCACUUGCCGGGCGAGUCAGGGCAUUAACAAUUAUUUAAGUUGGUAUCAGCAGAAACCAGGGAAAGCCCCUAAGCGCCUGAUCUGUUAUGCAUCCAGUUUGGAAACAGGGGUCCCAUCAAGGUUCAGUGGCAGUGGAUCUGGGACAGAUUAUACUCUCACCAUCAGCAGUCUGCAGUCUGAAGAUAUCGCAACAUAUUACUGUCAACAGUAUGAUAAUUUCCCUCCCACAGUGCUACAAGUCAUAACAUAAAUCACCCAGGGGAGCAGAUGUGUGAGGCUCAGUGGUCCCAGAUGCCCCUUCUGGUGCCUCCACCUGCUGAGAGUGUUUCUCAAAUCGCAGUCACACUUUGAAGGUCACUGGAGAGUUUUUGUAAAAGAACCAUGAAGGCCCACUUACUCGUAGCUGUCUUUCCUUGUCCUAAUCCCCAGUAGCACAGACAGGGCAAUGCUUCUGAUUUCAUUGAGAAGAAAGGAUUACACCUGAGGAGUCUGAGUUGUGGCAUCAGUUGGAAUUCAUACAGCAAAAAUAAGCCACUCUAGGUAUUCCAAGUAGGAUUUUUUUUAACACAAGGUGUGAGAAUGUAAACUAUAGCCUUUUAAAGGCUUACGGGUAUAGUAGUCAAAGAUGUAAAUACUAGAAAAGAGGAAUUAUCUUCCAGAAUCCAGAAUGCAUCUGACAGAGAAGGUACAAUUGCCAAUCGUGUGGUCUUUAGACGUUUCUGAGAAGCCCAUGGGUGGGACUGCAGAUGCUCUCAGCUGCCUGGAGGACUUCACCAGGUGCUUCUGCAGUCCUCACCUCUGUCCAAAUGUCUUGCAGCAGGUGCUGAUGGAUAAUAUUGAAUCUUCCCCUUCUUACUUCUCAAUCUCAGGGCGGGCCCCUCACUGGGCAACUCUACCAAAAACCAGAGAAGGAAAACGGUUUCUGGCAAAUGUGCUUCCAGAAUGAUAGUGAUGACGGGGAAGUGACAGGUGACAUCCUAGUGUGGUCACGUAUCCCGACUCUCAGAAUUUUGUCAGUGAAGUAAUGGCCUCAGAAUACACUUGGAUGUACUUCUAUAUACUAUGAGUAAGUUUCAAAUCAUAGCAAGAAAAUAUUUAGUCAUAUGAUAAAUAGAACUACGUGGCUACAUUAAUCAAA
Non-coding RNA from Chlorocebus sabaeus (green monkey), 1452 nucleotides. The record is from the annotation of a RefSeq genome assembly. Lineage: Eukaryota; Metazoa; Chordata; Mammalia; Primates; Cercopithecidae.